UACGUAGGGUGCAAGCGUUGUCCGGAAUUACUGGGCGUAAAGAGCUCGUAGGUGGUUUGUCGCGUUGUUCGUGAAAACCGGGGGCUUAACCCUCGGCGUGCGGGCGAUACGGGGCAGACUUGAGUACUGCAGGGGAGACUGGAAUUCCUGGUGUAGCGGUGGAAUGCGCAGAUAUCAGGAGGAACACCGGUGGCGAAGGCGGGUCUCUGGGCAGUAACUGACGCUGAGGAGCGAAAGCGUGGGGAGCGAACAGG
Molecule: ribosomal RNA, 254 nt
Filed under: uncultured bacterium
Lineage: Bacteria
Description: partial 16S ribosomal RNA
Rfam family: Bacterial small subunit ribosomal RNA
Source: RNAcentral